GCCAGUGUGGUGCAGUGGUUUGAGCAUUGGACUAUGAUGCUGGAGAUCAGGAUUCAAAUACCUGCUUGGCCA
Non-coding RNA from Phrynosoma platyrhinos (Desert horned lizard), 72 nucleotides. Lineage: Eukaryota; Metazoa; Chordata; Lepidosauria; Squamata; Phrynosomatidae. The record is from the annotation of a GenBank genome assembly.